Molecule: long non-coding RNA, 507 nt
Filed under: Canis lupus familiaris (dog)
Lineage: Eukaryota; Metazoa; Chordata; Mammalia; Carnivora; Canidae
Description: lncRNA (ENSCAFG00805024198.1, ENSCAFG00845028960.1)
Source: RNAcentral
CAUGGACUUUCCUUUUCAGAAAAGGAACUUCAGGCCCUACUGAACUGGCAACCCCAACGUUGAGGGAGAGUCCCGCCCUUAGAUUGCCCAAUGCGCUGGGUUGUGGUAAGACCAAGGCUUGUCCAAUUCCUGUCAACUCCAAGACGUGGAAGAAAUUCCUUGUGAGACAAGAAAGUCUGCGGAGAAGAGCUUUAAAAUCCACAGCCCUGGUGCCUUCAUUUAGAUGAAUCCAAGUUCUCACUCUACCUCGCACUCCACAUGUAGCAACAGAGAGACACAUGCAGGUGAGGGCGCACACACUCAGCGUUCACACACACUCUGCGUGGAGGGCUUCCUCGUCCUCUCCUGCCCCCAACCCUGGAGUCCAGGAUUUCCCAGAGGAACAAAACAGGACCAGUCUGAGUGAGGUCACUCCCUCGUUAAAGACAAUCCUGCAACUGGAAGGCAACUCCCUGGGGAAGGUCUGUAAGUUCAAACCUUACUAUUAGGUUCUCAGCUGUGACAGUG